ACAAUGGGCGCAAGCCUGAUCCAGCCAUACCGCGUGGGUGAAGAAGGCCUUCGGGUUGUAAAGCCCUUUUGUUGGGAAAGAAAUCCAGCUGGCUAAUACCCGGUUGGGAUGACGGUACCCAAAGAAUAAGCACCGGCUAACUUCGUGCCAGCAGCCGCGGUAAUACGAAGGGUGCAAGCGUUACUCGGAAUUACUGGGCGUAAAGCGUGCGUAGGUGGUCGUUUAAGUCCGUUGUGAAAGCCCUGGGCUCAACCUGGGAACUGCAGUGGAUACUGGGCGACUAGAGUGUGGUAGAGGGUAGCGGAAUUCCUGGUGUAGCAGUGAAAUGCGUAGAGAUCAGGAGGAACAUCCAUGGCGAAGGCAGCUACCUGGACCAACACUGACACUGAGGCACGAAAGCGUGGGGAGCAAACAGGAUUAGAUACCCUGGUAGUCCACGCCCUAAACGAUGCGAACUGGAUGUUGGGUGCAAUUUGGCACGCAGUAUCGAAGCUAACGCGUUAAGUUCGCCGCCUGGGGAGUACGGUCGCAAGACUGAAACUCAAA
RNAcentral lists this ribosomal RNA (546 nucleotides) under Salmonella enterica subsp. enterica serovar Enteritidis. Its description in RNAcentral is "bacterial SSU rRNA". It matches the Rfam family "Bacterial small subunit ribosomal RNA", at positions 368 to 905 of the family's 1533-position model. Lineage: Bacteria; Pseudomonadati; Pseudomonadota; Gammaproteobacteria; Enterobacterales; Enterobacteriaceae. The record is from RNAcentral.